AGUGAACGCUGGCGGUAGGCCUAACACAUGCAAGUCGAACGGCAGCACAGUAAGAGCUUGCUCUUACGGGUGGCGAGUGGCGGACGGGUGAGGAAUACAUCGGAAUCUACUUUUUCGUGGGGGAUAACGUAGGGAAACUUACGCUAAUACCGCAUACGACCUACGGGUGAAAGCAGGGGAUCUUCGGACCUUGCGCGAUUGAAUGAGCCGAUGUCGGUUUAGCUCGUUGGCGGGGUAAAGGCCCACCAAGGCGACGACCCGUAGCUGGUCUGAGAGGAUGAUCAGCCACACUGGAACUGAGACACGGUCCAGACUCCUACGGGAGGCAGCAGUGGGGAAUAUUGGACAAUGGGCGCAAGCCUGAUCCAGCCAUACCGCGUGGGUGAAGAAGGCCUUCGGGUUGUAAAGCCCUUUUGUUGGGAAAGAAAAGCAGCAGGUUAAUACCCCGCUGUUCUGACGGUACCCAAAGAAUAAGCACCGGCUAACUUCGUG
RNAcentral lists this ribosomal RNA (492 nucleotides) under uncultured bacterium. Its description in RNAcentral is "partial 16S ribosomal RNA". It matches the Rfam family "Bacterial small subunit ribosomal RNA", at positions 29 to 507 of the family's 1533-position model. The record is from RNAcentral.